ACAUUUUUACAAGGUUUUAACACAAAUAUUGCAAGGUGUGAAUUACAGUUUUUAAAAUUUGUCAUGUUAAGAUUACAAUUUUAUAAUAGUCACAAAAUCCAAAACCGCUACAUAAAAGUAUAUAUUUGUAUUAAGUACACCCCCUAUGUAACCAAGAGCAUUCCAACUCCUAAACCAACCCAUAUUGCUAUCCAUUAUCCUACGUAUGAUGCAACCCCUAAUCCGAUUCAAUAAUUUAGUACAGAGCGCUCCAGCAAAGGUGAUCAGUGUUGGCCACCUGGCAAAGCCCAGUACCAAUUACUUAGUAAGGGGAAGCAGGGUCUCCCUGAUACUGGGGUCAUUAAUUUAAUUUGCAUAAGGUGGAAAUUGCACUAAACUGCAAUAAUUUUCAAAGGGCUAUGUGGUGCACUCACUUAGAGAAAUGCACAUAACUCAUCUGUCAGCCUGGAAGCACUUACUAUGGCCCCAGUUGACAGAGGGGACCCUCAGGUAUCAAAAGAUUCCUGGUGUUCCCUGAUUUGAACAAAAACAUAUAGCGUGGCCACAUGGACCUUGGUAGAGGAUCUUCUAUAUCUUCUAUCCUGUCUGACAGAAUGUACUCACUGGGAGCAAAAAAAAUGUCUAUCAGCCUGGAUAGAGGAUACAGAUCUGCCCGGCCACACUACAUGGUAGGAGGUCAGCAGACACAGGAGGGGAGAGGGGAUAGAGAUCACAAAGGGAGGGGUGGAUUGGAGAGGGUCUGUGAGAGGCAUACACAGAGAGGGGCUGCGAGGCAUAUACAGUGAGGGGCUAGGGGGAGAAGUGACUGCCCCGUCACUCCUCCCAGCUUACAGUGGGAGCCGCGCGGGAAGAAGAGAGAAGGGAGUCAGAGUGGGAACUCUUGACUCCCAUCAGGCUGAGCCACCUCUGGACCCCAAGGAAGUCACCCUCCUGCAUCUAAAAGGUAGGAAACAGGAAGGUGACUAAAAUAUUUUGUAUGUGUGUGUUUUUUUUGUAUGUAUGUGUACGUGUGUGUGGCGCCCAUGGAUCAGUUUUCGCACCGAGGCCCCAUGGAUCAUGUGUACGCCACUGCACAGAGAGGCUGGGGGAAGAAAGACAUACAAAGGGGAUUGGGAAGUGCUGAGAAUGAGACACACAGAGUGGCUGAAGGGGAGAAAAAGACUCAGAGGGCCUGUGGGAGAGAGUGAGAUACACAGAGGGGAGAAAGUGUGCAUUUCUUCACUCCCAGGACAUGGAGGUUCAGCCUGCCGCUCCUGUUGUCCAGGUCAUCCACCCAGGUAGUUAAGUGGGCCACACUUGAAUCGCAGCUGCUAAUUGCUGAGCUGGCAGCAUCCAUGUCGGAGCGGAGGGCCCUGGAUUGGGGUUAACCCAAAGUGCAUAACUUUGCAUUUUUCUACAUUAAAUUUCAUUUUCCAUUUGAGUAUCCAGUCCCCUAAAAUCGAUCUAAAUCCCUCUGCAGUGAAGUAAUAGCCUGCUCACAUUGUAUUAAUUUACAGAGUUUUGUGUUGCCUACUGUGACGAAAGCAACUUCGCCACUGGUUUUUGGAGAGGACUACUUGCCAGCCUUUUACCCUGUGACUAUGGCCUCUUUAAUUUAUUUUGGCUGAGAAACCCUAAUUGUGCCUACUGGAACUUUAAACAUUUGGUUCUUCGAACGCCCGAAUAUUUGAAGUGGCUGCCGUUCGAACACUUGAUGGCGGCCAUUUUGUUUGCAUGGGCUAAAACCGCGAAUAGACUUCAGGGGGACUUAGCCGUGAAUGCCCUGGAACUAUUUUCGGCAUGAAGACGUCGCGGUUCCCAGUCGGUCCUCCAGCGGCACUUAGCUGCGAUUCUAUAGAACAGUUUUGGGCAUGAAAUCCUGUGUUUGCCUGGUCAAGAAUAUGACUUUCAUAAAAUUUCUGAACUACUUAUCUGGACGAUUUUUGGAUAUGUUGUUCACCCAGAUCAGGGUAUGUUGUGUUUUGGGGUACUUAUGGUACUUUAUAUAAAUGCGUGUUUUUCUGCCUGUGGAUAAUUAAGUUAAUGCAUUAACUACCUUAACUAUAUCACAGGCAGAGGGGAGUGAUUGUUUACUGAAUGUAGGAGUGUCGCACUGUUAAUUACUGUUUUGAUUGGUUUACGUCCCUUGUGUCCCUGUCUUCCAUCAAGUCCAGUGGGUGUGCCUCUGGCCUGAAAAACUGUAUAAAAAUCUAAUCUGUGCCAUUAAUCUUUCUGUUCCCUCAACAUGUAGUCUUGUCUCGUGAUUGGAGGGGAACUGCUAUAAUCAUACUGGGGAUUGCUAUACUCUGUAUACUCCCCUGGGUUCUAAUCACUUAGCUCUUUUAAGAGCUGUUCCUG
Molecule: non-coding RNA, 2337 nt
Organism: Pelobates cultripes (western spadefoot toad)
Lineage: Eukaryota; Metazoa; Chordata; Amphibia; Anura; Pelobatidae
Source: the annotation of a GenBank genome assembly